UAAGAAUAGGAUGGCACCAUUGCUACUCUU
Molecule: non-coding RNA, 30 nt
Filed under: Rattus norvegicus (Norway rat)
Lineage: Eukaryota; Metazoa; Chordata; Mammalia; Rodentia; Muridae
Source: RNAcentral